This 318-nucleotide ribosomal RNA is filed under the name Enterobacter sp. SMg4Ea. RNAcentral describes it as "bacterial SSU rRNA". It matches the Rfam family "Bacterial small subunit ribosomal RNA", at positions 443 to 752 of the family's 1533-position model. Lineage: Bacteria; Pseudomonadati; Pseudomonadota; Gammaproteobacteria; Enterobacterales; Enterobacteriaceae. The record is from RNAcentral.
GGAGGAAGGUGUUGAGGUUAAUAACCUCGUCAAUUGACGUUACCCGCAGAAGAAGCACCGGCUAACUCCGUGCCAGCAGCCGCGGUAAUACGGAGGGUGCAAGCGUUAAUCGGAAUUACUGGGCGUAAAGCGCACGCAGGCGGUCUGUCAAGUCGGAUGUGAAAUCCCCGGGCUCAACCUGGGAACUGCAUUCGAAACUGGCAGGCUAGAGUCUUGUAGAGGGGGGUAGAAUUCCAGGUGUAGCGGUGAAAUGCGUAGAGAUCUGGAGGAAUACCGGUGGGCGAAGGCGGCCCCCUGGACAAAGACUGACGCUCAGGU